This 428-nucleotide ribosomal RNA is filed under the name uncultured bacterium. RNAcentral's name for it is "bacterial SSU rRNA". It matches the Rfam family "Bacterial small subunit ribosomal RNA", at positions 355 to 775 of the family's 1533-position model. The record is from RNAcentral.
CGGGGAAUUUUGGACAAUGGGGGCAACCCUGAUCCAGCCAUUCCGCGUGAGUGAAGAAGGCCUUCGGGUUGUAAAGCUCUUUCAGCUGGAACGAAACGGUGCGCUCUAACAUAGCGUGCUAAUGACGGUACCAGCAGAAGAAGCACCGGCUAACUACGUGCCAGCAGCCGCGGUAAUACGUAGGGUGCGAGCGUUAAUCGGAAUUACUGGGCGUAAAGCGUGCGCAGGCGGAUUGUUAAGCAAGACGUGAAAUCCCCGGGCUUAACCUGGGAAUGGCGUUUUGAACUGGCAGUCUAGAGUGCGUCAGAGGGGGGUGGAAUUCCACGUGUAGCAGUGAAAUGCGUAGAGAUGUGGAGGAACACCGAUGGCGAAGGCAGCCCCCUGGGAUGACACUGACGCUCAUGUACGAAAGCGUGGGUAGCAAACAG